UGGCACAGGGACUCCAUCAUAGCGACCCGACGCUGGCGUUCCUCGCCGAUCUCCAGGGAGCCACACUCUUGUAGCAGCAUCUCUUCG
Frieseomelitta varia is the source of this 87-nucleotide long non-coding RNA. RefSeq lists it as uncharacterized. NCBI's taxonomy places the organism in Eukaryota, Metazoa, Arthropoda, Insecta, Hymenoptera, Apidae. The transcript is spliced from 4 exons. The record is from RefSeq and is a predicted model, not a curated record.